Molecule: ribosomal RNA, 253 nt
Filed under: uncultured bacterium
Lineage: Bacteria
Description: partial 16S ribosomal RNA
Rfam family: Bacterial small subunit ribosomal RNA
Source: RNAcentral
UACGUAGGGUCCAAGCGUUGUCCGGAAUUAUUGGGCGUAAAGAGCUCGUAGGCGGUCUGUUGCGUCGGGUGUGAAAACCCGCGGCUUAACUGUGGGCUUGCAGCUGAUACGGGCGGGCUAGAGUUCGGUAGGGGAGACUGGAAUUCCUGGUGUAGCGGUGAAAUGCGCAGAUAUCAGGAGGAACACCGGUGGCGAAGGCGGGUCUCUGGGCCGAUACUGACGCUGAGGAGCGAAAGCGUGGGGAGCGAACAGG